Molecule: ribosomal RNA, 492 nt
Filed under: uncultured bacterium
Lineage: Bacteria
Description: partial 16S ribosomal RNA
Rfam family: Bacterial small subunit ribosomal RNA
Source: RNAcentral
AGUGAACGCUGGCGGUAGGCCUAACACAUGCAAGUCGAACGGCAGCACAGUAAGAGCUUGCCCUUACGGGUGGCGAGUGGCGGACGGGUGAGGAAUACAUCGGAAUCUACUUUUUCGUGGGGGAUAACGUAGGGAAACUUACGCUAAUCCCGCAUACGACCUACGGGUGAAAGCAGGGGAUCUUCGGACCUUGCGCGAGUGAAUGAGCCGAUGUAGGAUUAGCUAGUUGGCGGGGUAAAGGCCCACCAAGGCGACGAUCCGUAGCUGGUCUGAGAGGAUGAUCAGCCACACUGGAACUGAGACACGGUCCAGACUCCUACGGGAGGCAGCAGUGGGGAAUAUUGGACAAUGGGCGCAAGCCUGAUCCAGCCAUACCGCGUGGGUGAAGAAGGCCUUCGGGUUGUAAAGCCCUUUUGUUGGGAAAGAAAAGCAGCAGGUUAAUACCCCGCUGUUCUGACGGUACCCAAAGAAUAAGCACCGGCUAACUUCGUG